GUAGAUCGCCUUCUUAUGUGACCUGCGGAAGGAUCAUUA
RNAcentral lists this ribosomal RNA (39 nucleotides) under uncultured Dermocybe. Its description in RNAcentral is "partial 18S ribosomal RNA". Lineage: Eukaryota; Fungi; Basidiomycota; Agaricomycetes; Agaricales; Cortinariaceae. The record is from RNAcentral.